AAGAACACAAAUAUACAUACACAAAGAGAGAGAGAGAGAAAGAGGGAGAGAAAGGAAGAGAGAAAAGAGUGCGAGAGCAAACGAGCUUCCUCCUUCAAAGAAGACACGUUUUUCCUGUGAAUCCACAGCAUCUAUUUUUUAAAUUACAAACUAUUGCUAUAUUUUAAAUUUUAAUAUACACACACAACAGAUCUUAAUAUAUUGAUUAAUUCGUGGGACGAAAAACAAAAUGAACAUUUGUGAAAGUGUUAAUUAAUAUUUCUCGUGAAUUUACUGCCUAUGGUUGGUCGUUUGAUCUUUUCUUUUUUUGUAAUAAAUGUUCGUGUGAAUAAUAAUACACGACAAAAUAAACAAUAACGACGCGGUAAUUUGAACACAAAUGACAAUGAAUUUUGGAAGACAGAGGAACGCCAGAAAAACGUGUCGGUUUGGAUCAAAAUUGUUUUCGCGCGCCCGCAAAAAAAAAAAAAAAUCCGUUCCGAAUCCGUUUCUCAGCGUUCAUAGAAAAUGGCCGCCAAGUUUUGCGUCUGCGCGCGUGAAAGCAACUUUCCAGUCUUUCGUAAAUAAGCGCAUGAAAAAGAUACUAUUUUUUUUUGUCUUAAUUUCCUGUUACACAAACACACACGCAAACACACACGGGAGGGGAGUAUUUGCGAAUGAUAUCUAAUCGAGAAAAAAUAAUACUCGCUGCGCAAUAUAACGAUGGCAUUGUCGAUUAUUUAAUGAGAAGCAAAAAAGCGUUAUCUUAAAACCGUUGAGUAUCGGCUGUUAUUUUUCACACACGUACACACACACACACACACAUAUAUACACUGAUAAAAAUUAUAUACAAGUCUUUUUGACGUUCUUACAUGAAUCUUAAAAUGUGCAAAAUAAUACACACCGACAAUCGGUGUUGUUCUGUUAUUUUUCUUCAUGUGAUUGUGGACAAUGUGACGUGUUUAAGAUUCGUCACGCUAAUCUUUUUUUUUUUUUUUGUUUUGCAAAUUUGCUACAAGAAAGAAAAACAAAAAAGACAUCAUCUCGCGUUUCUGCGUGUUCCUCUCCCGUUUCGAGCGCACCACGUUCGUUUUUCUUCGCGUCUGUUACUUCUUAUAUACGUUUCUCUUCGUAAGUUUAAACUUAUACACACACAUAUAUAUAUGUAUAAACCGAAUAUCCCCCCCCGUAGUAAGCUGAUUAUUUCCCGAAACUCUGGUCUGCUUUAAUGAAACGGUGAUAGAAACGUAUUAUGUUGCGAGAAAAGAAAAGGAAAGAGAGAGAAAAAGAAAGAAAGAAGAUAUGUGUGUCGUUUAUCUCGAAAGUGGGCGAAAUCGGGAAAAAAAAAAGAAAUUACGGAGACGCGAGAACGAAGUUGACACGUGCGACGAGAGAAUCGAUCACUUUCGAGAUAAACGAACACAGAUAUAGGCUUCUGAUCUGCAGCGCGUACGCUUUGUAUUCGCGAAAAUGCGGUGAAUAAAAAAAAAAUAAACAAAAAGCAAUGAUUUGACAAUCCCGAUUAUUGGAGUAUAGCGUAUAUUAUUGUACGAACAAUGUUACGGUUGUUACGAUGUAAUCGGAUUGUCGUUGUUGGUAAAACAAAAAACAAAAAAAAAAGAAGAAGAAGAAGAAGAUUCGCGCGAAACCCAAGAUCGUUUCUGUGCAAAGCGUACGCGUCUGUAAAUAAUAAAAAAAAAGAUUGCGGGAAAAUAGAGAUGACGGAUUGUGUGGAUAUCGUUAUCUAGAAGGAAAAGGAGAUGAAGAGCCGAACUGCGAAUCUUAUUAGAGAACGUUAAUGAUAAUAGUUUAUAAGGAGAUAUCAAGAGAGUCGCGAUCUCUGUGAUGAGAUGAAAUGACAAACGUUUGAGAGUAAAACAGUCAGACGAUGAUUUUCCCCCCUCCGUGUCACCGUGACAAUUUUCGUCGCGGACACGAAAAGAAAAAACAAAACACAAACACAGCGACAAACAAAGAAAGGCAAUUUCACCCGUUGCGAUUUUUAGAGUACAUUAAGACAUAGAACCGUAAUCUAUACUUUGUAGCGAUGUAAAAGAAAAAAAAACAGAAGCUUACUACUUAAGAUUUUGACUGGAGUUAAAUAAUAGACGUAUGUUACAUUAAGGAUUGAGAGAAUUGCGUGCGUUUAUAUACACACACACACAUGAGAGGAGGGAGCAUCAAUCGACAAUGAUAGUAAAAUAGGCGAUGAUUAUACAUUUAAAGAAUUUGUAAAUAAUAAGCGUAAGAGAGAAAAGCGUACGAAUGCCCGCGGUGAAACAGAAAGAGAAAGAGAGAGCAGAGAUGAAGAAAAUUAUUUUGCUACGCGAGGAGGAGGAUGGACUUCCGGAAAAACCGCACGAGCGUGGUUCUUUCUUUUUUUUUUUUUUUUUUACAUUGGCGGCUCGUUCGAACGAUGUAAAUUUUUAAACGAAGAAAAACUGCGAGAAUACGAGAGAAAAAACAGAAGAAAGGAAGAAGUUGGCGAAGGAGACUCGUCGUUACGCGCAAAAACGAGAUGGUCCGUCGACGAUGGUCUGUCCGUUUCGGCAACGAUCCGCGAUACAUGUCAGGAUCUAUAAUGAGAGACGUUGCUGACGUCGCGGCGAUGACGGGAGGCAUUAUCGCACGCGAGGAAGGACAUUUACCAGCAGCGAUGCCAUCUUUCGACGCGCAUCCCGUUGUUUUUGCUGCGAAACAAUUGUCUCGUGCUUGCGCGUCCGACGAGAAGAUUCCGCAAAGAGAUUGAAGAAUCGGCGAGGGAAAAAUUAAAAAAACAAAAAAAAAACAAAAAAAAGUGAGGAGAAGAAUGUUGACUUCGCUCGCUGCUGCAUUCUGUCUAACCUUCGUGUGAAGAAUGUAGACUUCGCAACUUUCUUUAUGAAGAACUAGAUCGACGAAGAAGAAGAAGAAGAAGAAGAAGAAGAAGAAGAAGAAGAAGAAAGACGAGGACGGUAACAUUCAGAAAAGAGGACGGGCAAAAGGAAAUUGAAGGCUUUCCGGAAGCUGUCCAUUUAAAUAUACUCGACCAUAGUCUGUCGAGAAAAACAGAAGACGGAAAAAAAAAAAAAAAAACGUAAUUGUUUAUAUCGUACUGUGCUUUUGCACGUUUAUUAAAACUGGCGCGUUUCUUGAAGAUGAAAUUUAUAAAGUUCACAGAAAAGCUAAGUUAGCCGUAAAAGACAGAGAAUUAUUAUAAAGAAGAAAGGAAAACGGAGGAUGGAGAUUUAAGGAAACGUAAUGUUCUUAGGUGUGAAUGAUCGCGAAGAACGGAGCAGCAAAUAUAUAUAAAAAAGCUCUCCGUUCGUUGGCAGAGCGAUAGUCUGAGUGUGAGCGAGUGAUUGGAAGCGAGUGUUUAAGAUUUUCAAGAAGAAAAAUGGACCAGAAAAAAAUGUCUUUUUUUAAUAUAAAAGGCACCAAAAAAAAAAAA
Molecule: long non-coding RNA, 3409 nt
Organism: Pseudomyrmex gracilis
Lineage: Eukaryota; Metazoa; Arthropoda; Insecta; Hymenoptera; Formicidae
Exons: 2
Source: RefSeq, a predicted model, not a curated record